This is an RNA transcript of Cornus florida, 4042 nucleotides long. It is a transcript of the gene named COP1-interacting protein 7-like, with no coding region annotated. Lineage: Eukaryota; Viridiplantae; Streptophyta; Magnoliopsida; Cornales; Cornaceae. The transcript has 10 exons. The record is from RefSeq and is a predicted model, not a curated record.
CUCAUGUCCAGUUCAUACCAUAGACUGGGACAGGCACGUUUAAAAACAAUGAACUUGUAAAUUCAUCAUACUACAAUAAUUAACCUCUGUCUCGGUCUCUCUCUCUCUGAGUAUGGAUUCCAAAGCUAUUCUUAGUUAUGCUGUACUUCAACUCACCCCAACCAGGACAAGAUGUGAUCUUGUGGUGUGUUUGGGGGACCGUAAUGAGAAACUUGCUUCUGGGCUUGUGGAACCCUUCAUUUCUCACCUGAAAUUUGCUAAAGAUCAGAUUCAAAAAGGAGGGUACUCAAUUACCCUCUAUCCACCAUCCAUUCAUGCUUACUGUUUCACAAAAGCCACCAUUCAAAGAUUUGUACGUUUUGUAAGCACACCUGAAAUUCUCGAGAGAUUUGUGCGAAUCGAAAAAGAAAUUUUGCAGAUUCAGAGUUCUGUUCAAUCUAAUGAAUCCUCGAACGGAAAUAUAGCAGGGCAGGCUGACAAAGGAAGCUUUCUAGCUGGCAAUGCGGUUUUGAAGAAGUCAAAUGAUUCCUGCAAGUUCAUAGAUGAAGUUGAAGUAAUUGAUGAUGCUGUACAUGAAGAAAACUCCAAGAUCUGCCUUCAACGCCUUUUAGAGACUCGGAAAGCAUUACUCCGGAAAGAACAGGCCAUGGUGUAUGCCCGUGCUCUUGCUGCUGGAUUUGAAAUGGACUAUAUAGAUAAUCUCAUAUCCUUUGCUGAUGCUUUUGGGGCAUCACGUUUACGGGGAGCAUGCAUAGAUUUUAGGGAACUGUCGAAGAGAAAGCACACAGAUGGCCUUUGGAUGGAUGAAUUAGCGUCAAUGGAGGCAUGCUUCCCACCAGAGCUGUCAUAUUCAGGACCAUCUGGGAUUGUACUUACAUGUGAAAGUGACGCCACGAGUCAGAAUAAUAUAUUCUCUACCGGUAAAGUUAUGCCGAAUGGCUCUGUAAAUGCAUCAUCUGACUCAAACACAAGUCUGGAAAAUUCAAAUGGCAACAAAGAUAAACACUUCCCUGCAUCAGAUCAGAUACCACCAACUUCAGCAAAAGUUCAAAUGAAGAUGCCAUUUUCGAAUCAGAUUCCUCAGUACAUGUACAAUUUUCAUAGACCUGUUCAGCAGAUGCCUCCAUUUCGAGGUUAUCCUUUCCCUGGCAUGCGGCCUGUACCUCCAUAUUAUCAAGGGAAUAUGUGUUGGCCUCCAAAUAUGGAUGUUCCUAGUCAUGGUCAUCCCCGGGAGCCAGAUUAUCGUCAGCAUCAGAAGUCAUCUACAAGGAAAAAGGAAAAAUCUUCAAGUGUAAAAGAACCCGUAGCUUCAGAAGAAGAUGAACAAACUGAAUCCAGUGACUCUGAUUCUGGAAGUCAUUCAGAUGGACAUCCACAGGAUGACAGAAAGCAUUCUUCAAAGGAACAACCAUACAGAAAAAAGCACAGGAAGAAGUCCUCCAAAACAGUUGUCAUACGUAAUAUAAACUACAUCACUUCCAAGAGCAGAAAUGGAGAAACGGUUGGAGUCCCUGGUGAUCCUUCUUCAGUCGAGGAUGAGUUAAUUGAUCAAGAUUCAAUCAAGCAGAAGAUAGAGGAUGCAGUUGGAUCAUUGGAGAAACACCAUGAGUCAGCAUCACAUGGUAAUAGAAGAAGAGGUGGGCACAAGAGCCCCAGAGAUUUAAAUAGAUCGGAUGGUUCUGCUGACCGAGAUUCAGAGAAUGACCAAGUUGCAGAUACAUCUGGGAGAAGGAAAGGAAAUGAGAACUGGGACGCUUUCCAGAACCUUCUGGUGAGAGAUGAGGAUUCAACUGCUAAUGAAGUAGAGAAGGAUCAUCCUAUAAAUUUUCAGGAUGAACACUUCAGAACCGAAAGAUCUGACGAGAGCAUUGCAGUUGUGAGUAUCCAUGCUUUAGACUUGGAACUGGAGAAAACCCUUGCAGUUGAUUCCUUUGCUGUGGUCGAGAGGGAUGGAGGACAAGAAGUUAGACUUAACCUGGAAGAUUUUGGAAAUCGUGAGGAUCUCCGUUCAAGUAUGAAGAGAAUAGAUUGUGCAGAUGAACAAAUGUUACUUUUGCAAGGAAUGGAAAAAUCAGGAAGCUCUCUUGAGGGAACACUAUCUCAUUGCACCAUGGAGUCGCCCAUCAUAAAAAAUGGAAAGGGAGAAGAUUGGUUCAUUGUCAACCAUUCCCGGAAAUCAGAAAACCAGGAGGCAGCCUGUCAGCAAGCAACUUGUGGUGACCAUUUUGCUUUGUCAUUGGAGGGAGAUCGCUCUCAGACAGGAAGUUGUAAAAAGAUUGUACCUAUUGAUGAUUCUUUCAUGGUAAAAUCGCUGUCAGCAGUUGAUGAUCAGUUUGAUUCUCAAUGGAAAACUGACAUGAGCAUGAUUGCUGACCUGAAUGUAGCUUCCCAGCCUAACAGUGCCAGCCCAGAUGUUAUACAGGAAAAGCCUGGACUAUCUAGUACCUGUGAGCCAGAUGACAUCUGCAUGAUGCUUGUACGGAAUUCAGGAUGGGAAUCUGCGGGGGCAUAUAGGACUCCCGAAGUGGAUUAUGGUAUUGAAAUUUCAUUUACAGAAGCUAAGAAAAAGUCAUCUGCCAUUGAAACAAACGAUCACAUGGUCGAGAAGGUUCCUGUGAAAAUUAAGAGCACCAAUGGUAAGAACGCUCUAGGUCUUGGUUCAAAUAAUUCAGGAAAAGAAGCAAGAUCCAAAGUUUUUCGGGGAUCUCUUGCAAAGAGCAACUCUGAUAUUUUGUCCAAGAUCAAGAAACCAUCUCCUACUAGUAGGCCCAUGGUUCGAAAAAGCAAAGUGGAAAAGGAAGCAGAUAUUCGAAGGAAAACGGAAGAAUUAUUGAUCCAACGCCAGAAGAGAAUCGCUGAAAGAACUGCAGCUAGUGUUUUUACUCCUGCAGCAUCUAAAAAAGACCCUGUGGGUAGUAAAACUGCUUUCUCGAAGUAUGACAAGCAUAGACCUCAGUCCAGAACUCAAUAGACAAAUAUAUUGAGUUGGCCUAAGCUGGGGAUCAGAAUUUCAGCCACAAAUCACCUAGUACUUGGAUAGACGAUAAACAAGGGAGUAUAUGCUUUGUUGAAAUCUGACCAACUUUGGGAAACAAGUUCGAAGAUGAUUGAUAUUGUGAAUGCUUAGAUACUCCAUGAACAUUCUACCAUGAAGCUUUAUUUGGCAUUUCCUUGAAAGUUGAAGAGGAUGGUACAACAGGUGGGAGAAUUCAAAUUUGACAUGGAAUUUUGGAGAUGAAAAUCAUGCCUGACAGAGGCAUUCAUUCUAUCCAUCACGAACUACUUGAAUAAAAAUGAAGAAUAUAUUUACUCGGUGAAGAAAUUGACCGAGAAUGUACUCUCCUCCAUCUACCGAAGAGUUCAAAAAAUACGUACUGUUUAAUUGAAAAGGCUACAAAUCUCCUCCCAAUGGAUCAGAUAGUACUCGCCUCUGUUACGGGUCUUCCACUUCAUAUUAUGAUUAUUUCAAUUGUUGCUGCUGAACCUGAACUUGUAUGUAGUGAAUUUUCUCAGAUCUCCAAUGUAUUUAUUUUCUUUUCAUUGGAGGUGGAUAAACUGUGCUUCAGUUCCAUUUUAGGUUGUCGUUGGUUUACGAGGUCAUCCUUUAGCAGUUGUGUCCUGGUGUUUCUGAAAUUCUUUUUCAGGCAUUUAAGUCCUCCAUGGAAGAAUUGGUUAACCACAACAUUUCUUCUAUGCAUUAAGUUUUGCUGGCUACAGCAGUGGACAGGAGUUCUCUCUUGUGGCUGUAUUGGCUUCUCGGCCGCUACCAUUUCCUGAUAUGGCUGGAUAAUUGAGAGAGCACAAGCAACAUAUCCUAACAUUCUUGUAAGCAAUUUUCUCCUGCAGUCUUCUAUUGAAAAUCCUUUUUCAUGGAUACAACUGAUCCGAGUAGUUGGGAACUUGGGAUUUAAGGCUUGUUUAGUAGUUGAUUUAAUGUAUUGUCUGUAAGCAAAAUAAUAGUCUAACAAUAAUAAUUAAUUAGCAUUAAUCAUUUGAAUAGAACCAGAUCAACGGUUAUACAUGCUUCUAAGAGAGGUUGCAC